RNAcentral lists this unclassified non-coding RNA (338 nucleotides) under soil metagenome. RNAcentral's name for it is "partial contains 5.8S ribosomal RNA, internal transcribed spacer 2, and large subunit ribosomal RNA". The stretch from base 1 to 120 matches the Rfam family "5.8S ribosomal RNA", at positions 35 to 154 of the family's 154-position model. The record is from RNAcentral.
GAUGAAGAACGCAGCGAAACGCGAUAAGUAAUGUGAAUUGCAGAAUUCAGUGAAUCAUCGAAUCUUUGAACGCACAUUGCGCCCGGCAGUACUCUGCCGGGCAUGCCUGUUCGAGCGUCAUUUCAACCCUCAAGCCCUGCUUGGUGUUGGGGUCCCACGGCCGCCGUGGGCCCUGAAAGGAAGUGGCGGGCUCGCUACAACUCCGAGCGUAGUAAUUCAUUAUCUCGCUUAGGGCGUUGGGCGGCGCUCCUGCCGUUAAAGAACCAUCUUUAACUCAAGGUUGACCUCGGAUCAGGUAGGAAUACCCGCUGAACUUAAGCAUAUCAAUAAGCGGAGGA